UUGGUGUUACUGCGAAGGGGGGACGGAGAAGGCUAUGUCAGCCGGGCGACGGUUGUCCCGGUUUAAGCAUGUAGGCGGAGGUUCCAGGUAAAUCCGGUACCUUAUUAACGCUGAGGUGUGAUGACGAGGCACUACGGUGCUGAAGUGAUAAAUGCCCUGCUUCCAGGAAAAGCCUCUAAGCAUCAGGUAACACGAAAUCGUACCCCA
RNAcentral lists this ribosomal RNA (207 nucleotides) under Enterobacter hormaechei. Its description in RNAcentral is "partial 23S ribosomal RNA". It matches the Rfam family "Bacterial large subunit ribosomal RNA", at positions 1445 to 1651 of the family's 2925-position model. The record is from RNAcentral. Lineage: Bacteria; Pseudomonadati; Pseudomonadota; Gammaproteobacteria; Enterobacterales; Enterobacteriaceae.